Molecule: long non-coding RNA, 410 nt
Filed under: Manihot esculenta (cassava)
Lineage: Eukaryota; Viridiplantae; Streptophyta; Magnoliopsida; Malpighiales; Euphorbiaceae
Description: long non-coding RNA (MESC_LNC011585)
Source: RNAcentral
AAAGAAAUAAAAGGAGGGCAAGUAAAUAAAAAAUAAUUAAAAAUUAACUUUUAUAACUAAUAAAAUUAAAAAUAAUAAUAAUAAUGAACCUAGAUCUGAAGAAUAAACCAAGAUCUGCAACAUGUAGAGUCCUUUGGAGUGGUGAUUUUGAUGAGAAUGAUCAGCAGGCAUGGGAUGAGUAGCUAGCUAGCAAGCAGGAACUCUUCCAUCUCUUUACACACAGCAACGGCAACGGCAACGGCAACGGCAACGGCAAAAGGAUCAGCCAGUGCAGAAAGUUCAACCACAGGCAGGUAUCCAAUGAUAAAAAAUAGCUAUUAGCUUAGAAGAUCGAUGCAUGUCAGAGAAUAUAAAAGCAAGGGAAGGGAAGGGAACAUCAAUAAUUCACUAACCAUGUCUUUUUAGGUGUU